This 254-nucleotide ribosomal RNA is filed under the name uncultured bacterium. RNAcentral describes it as "partial 16S ribosomal RNA". It matches the Rfam family "Bacterial small subunit ribosomal RNA", at positions 793 to 1055 of the family's 1533-position model. The record is from RNAcentral.
GUCCACGCCGUAAACGAUGGAUACUAGCUGUUCGGAGCAAUCUGAGUGGCUAAGCGAAAGUGAUAAGUAUCCCACCUGGGGAGUACGUUCGCAAGAAUGAAACUCAAAGGAAUUGACGGGGCCCGCACAAGCGGUGGAGCAUGUGGUUUAAUUCGAUGAUACGCGAGGAACCUUACCAGGGCUUAAAUGUAGAUUGACAGGACUGGAAACAGUUUUUUCUUCGGACAAUUUACAAGGUGCUGCAUGGUUGUCGU